UUGGAAGACGACCGCCAACGUCCUCUUCACGGUGCCCCCAAGCACAAGGAGUUCGGAUAAAUCUGCUUGCAAGGCUCUCGAUGAUAUAUCCAUUUUCAUCAAUUGCUCAAGGGUGUGGUCAGUUGGAGAAGACAUUACUAUGAUUUUUUUUCAGAGGAUGGCGAAGGAGGUGCAGGGAGCUGACGGCAUAUCCGCGGUGAGUGGUGAUGGAGGAACAGCCGCACACUUGAUGGCUUGGUGCAGGGCGGUGAGGGCGCCGACCAGGAAGGCGAUGCCAUUGCCGGGCGUCGAGGUCGUAGUCCCGGAAGCCGACGAUGCUUCCGUGCGGCGAGGGGAUAAGCCUGGGGAUCUGUUGCUUAUUUUAUGGGAUAUAUGUUAUGUUUUUCUUUG
Molecule: long non-coding RNA, 390 nt
Organism: Triticum dicoccoides
Lineage: Eukaryota; Viridiplantae; Streptophyta; Magnoliopsida; Poales; Poaceae
Exons: 3
Source: RefSeq, a predicted model, not a curated record